AACGAACGCUGGCGGCAGGCCUAACACAUGCAAGUCGAACGCCCCGCAAGGGGAGUGGCAGACGGGUGAGUAACACGUGGGUAACGUACCCUUCGGUUCGGGAUAACUCAGGGAAACUUGAGCUAAUACCGGAUACGUCCGAGAGGAGAAAGAUUUAUCGCCGAGGGAUCGGCCCGCGUCUGAUUAGCUUGUUGGUGAGGUAACGGCUCACCAAGGCGACGAUCAGUAGCUGGUCUGAGAGGAUGAUCAGCCACAUUGGGACUGAGACACGGCCCAAACUCCUACGGGAGGCAGCAGUGGGGAAUAUUGGACAAUGGGCGCAAGCCUGAUCCAGCCAUGCCGCGUGAGUGAUGAA
RNAcentral lists this ribosomal RNA (355 nucleotides) under uncultured bacterium. RNAcentral describes it as "bacterial SSU rRNA". It matches the Rfam family "Bacterial small subunit ribosomal RNA", at positions 29 to 412 of the family's 1533-position model. The record is from RNAcentral.